This 442-nucleotide ribosomal RNA is filed under the name uncultured bacterium. Its description in RNAcentral is "partial 16S ribosomal RNA". It matches the Rfam family "Bacterial small subunit ribosomal RNA", at positions 339 to 795 of the family's 1533-position model. The record is from RNAcentral.
CUACGGGCCGCAGCAGUGGGGAAUAUUGGGCAAUGGGCGCAAGCCUGACCCAGCAACGCCGCGUGAGGGAAGAAUGUCUUCGGAUUGUAAACCUCUGUCCUUGGGGACGAAAAAAAUGACGGUACCCAAGGAGGAAGCUCCGGCUAACUACGUGCCAGCAGCCGCGGUAAUACGUAGGGAGCAAGCGUUGUCCGGAAUUAUUGGGCGUAAAGGGUGCGUAGGCGGCGCUGUAAGUCAGAUGUGAAAUCCCCGGGCUUAACUCGGGAGUUGCAUUUGAAACUACAGUGCUUGAGUAAAGAAGGGGUAAGUGGAAUUCCUAGUGUAGCGGUGGAAUGCGUAGAUAUUAGGAGGAACACCAGUGGCGAAGGCGACUUACUGGUCUUUUACUGACGCUGAGGCACGAAAGCGUGGGGAGCAAACAGGAUUAGAUACCCGAGUAGUC